UUAUAACCGGCGAUUUCCGAAUGGGGAAACCCAGUGUGAUUCGUCACACUAUCAUUAACUGAAUCCAUAGGUUAAUGAGGCGAACCGGGGGAACUGAAACAUCUAAGUACCCCGAGGAAAAGAAAUCAACCGAGAUUCCCCCAGUAGCGGCGAGCGAACGGGGAGGAGCCCAGAGCCUGAAUCAGCAUGUGUGUUAGUGGAAGCGUCUGGAAAGGCGCGCGAUACAGGGUGACAGCCCCGUACACAAAAGCGCAUGUGCUGUGAGCUCGAUGAGUAGGGCGGGACACGUGGUAUCCUGUCUGAAUAUGGGGGGACCAUCCUCCAAGGCUAAAUACUCCUGACUGACCGAUAGUGAACCAGUACCGUGAGGGAAAGGCGAAAAGAACCCCGGCGAGGGGAGUGAAAAAGAACCUGAAACCGUGUACGUACAAGCAGUGGGAGCACAGGUUUACCUGUGUGACUGCGUACCUUUUGUAUAAUGGGUCAGCGACUUAUAUUCUGUAGCAAGGUUAAC
Molecule: ribosomal RNA, 514 nt
Filed under: Salmonella enterica subsp. enterica
Lineage: Bacteria; Pseudomonadati; Pseudomonadota; Gammaproteobacteria; Enterobacterales; Enterobacteriaceae
Description: partial 23S ribosomal RNA
Rfam family: Bacterial large subunit ribosomal RNA
Source: RNAcentral